UACGGAGGGUGCAAGCGUUAUCCGGAUUCACUGGGUUUAAAGGGUGUGUAGGCGGAUAUUUAAGUCCGAGGUGAAAUCUCUGAGCUCAACUCAGAAACUGCCUUGGAUACUAUUUAUCUUGAAUAUCGUUGAGGUAGGCGGAAUAUGUCAUGUAGCGGUGAAAUGCUUAGAUAUGACAUAGAACACCGAUUGCGAAGGCAGCUUGCUAAACGAUUAUUGACGCUGAGACGCGAAAGCGUGGGGAGCGAACGGG
RNAcentral lists this ribosomal RNA (253 nucleotides) under uncultured bacterium. RNAcentral's name for it is "partial 16S ribosomal RNA". It matches the Rfam family "Bacterial small subunit ribosomal RNA", at positions 524 to 776 of the family's 1533-position model. The record is from RNAcentral.